CUACGAGCUGCACCAGUGGGGAAUAUUGCACAAUGGAGGAAACUCUGAUGCAGCAACGCUGCGUGGAGGAUGACACUUUUCGGAGCGUAAACUCCUUUUAUAUAGGAAGAAGAUGACGGUACUAUAUGAAUAAGCGCCGGCUAACUCCGUGCCAGCAGCCGCGGUAAUACGGAGGGCGCAAGCGUUACUCGGAAUCACUGGGCGUAAAGAGCGUGUAGGCGGAUUAAAAAGUCAGAAGUGAAAUCCUAUAGCUUAACUAUAGAACUGCUUCUGAAACUCUUAAUCUAGAAUAUGGGAGAGGUAGAUGGAAUUUCUGGUGUAGGGGUAAAAUCCGUAGAGAUCAGAAGGAAUACCGAUUGCGAAGGCGAUCUACUAGAACAUUAUUGACGCUGAGACGCGAAAGCGUGGGGAGCAAACAGGAUUAGAUACCCCCGUAGUC
This 439-nucleotide ribosomal RNA is filed under the name uncultured bacterium. RNAcentral's name for it is "partial 16S ribosomal RNA". It matches the Rfam family "Bacterial small subunit ribosomal RNA", at positions 339 to 795 of the family's 1533-position model. The record is from RNAcentral.